GCGCCCGUAGCUCAGGGGAUAGAGCGACAGUUUGCGGAACUGUAGGUCGCAGGUUCAAAUCCUGCCGGGCGUG
RNAcentral lists this transfer RNA (73 nucleotides) under Caldilineales bacterium. RNAcentral describes it as "tRNA-Arg". It matches the Rfam family "tRNA". Rfam says of the family: Transfer RNA (tRNA) molecules are approximately 80 nucleotides in length. Their secondary structure includes four short double-helical elements and three loops (D, anti-codon, and T loops). The record is from RNAcentral. Lineage: Bacteria; Bacillati; Chloroflexota; Caldilineae; Caldilineales.